This 315-nucleotide RNase P RNA is filed under the name Bacteroidales bacterium. Its description in RNAcentral is "RNase P RNA component class A". It matches the Rfam family "Bacterial RNase P class A". Rfam says of the family: Ribonuclease P (RNase P) is a ubiquitous endoribonuclease, found in archaea, bacteria and eukarya as well as chloroplasts and mitochondria. Its best characterised activity is the generation of mature 5'-ends of tRNAs by cleaving the 5'-leader elements of precursor-tRNAs. Cellular RNase Ps are ribonucleoproteins. Lineage: Bacteria; Pseudomonadati; Bacteroidota; Bacteroidia; Bacteroidales. The record is from RNAcentral.
AAGGCGGGACGAUCUGCCGCGGCAGAAAUGCUGAGGAAAGUCCGGACAGAGCAGGGCACCCUGCUGCGGAAAGCGCAGGUGGGGGUAACCUUACGGACGCCGUAACAGAGAAUAACCGCCGUCGCAAGACGGCAAGGGUGAAAACGCGAGGCAAGAGCUCACGACGCACGGCAGCGAUGACGUGCGGGUACGGCACCAGGGUCUGCAAGACCAAAUAUACCGGCAGCUGAGGGCGGCCCGCCUGAUGCCGGGGGGUAGGUUGCGAAGAUAAAUGGCAGAACAAAACAGAAACCGGCUUACGGUUCCGCCUUGUUU